This 1193-nucleotide long non-coding RNA is filed under the name Anser brachyrhynchus (Pink-footed goose). RNAcentral's name for it is "lncRNA (ENSABRG00000021329.1)". Lineage: Eukaryota; Metazoa; Chordata; Aves; Anseriformes; Anatidae. The record is from RNAcentral.
UUAUUCUCUGUAUUCCAUUCACACGUUGGUGUCCUUACCAUGACAGCCAACAUGGGUGCUAAUUAGCAGCUACACUCCUGCUGGCAGGUUGUGUGGGCACCCAUCAGGUAGCACCUGACCUGAAUUUAAUUAGCAUCACCAAUUAAGCGCUUUGUUAUUUGCACUGCAGUAACGCCAUGAGGUCCUAGCUAGUGCUGGGAGCCAAGUACACAGAAUUGAGAGAGGCAGUCUGUGGAAAAUAUGUUAGGACCCUGAGGGCACUAAUAAACCUUAGUCACCCUGACCAGCCUCACCUGGGACCCACAUCCCUGGGCCCAAGGGAUCUAUUUAAGCUCAAGCCAGGGGGCUUAGCCCUUCCUAAGCUUAUGCUGUGGAUGUGUCUGCUCUUGGUUUUGCUGCAGAUUUUGUUUUAUGGAUGGACUUGGCUCUGUCCUGUAGGUAAAUUGUUUCUGGGUUGGUCUCUUGGAUGGACUUUGGACCUAUGCUGUUGCCUUAUUUCUGGCUCUGCCUCCUUUUUUUCCUGGGUGGAUUCCUUGGAUGGUCUCUGGACCCUAUUUAUUGCCUUGCUUUGUCUGGGACUGUUGGUGGAGCCUCUGAUCUGUCUGCAGUCAGGAAGAGAUGCAGCCCUCAGCAGCCUUCGUUCCCCAGGAUGGACAGAAAGAAAUGGUGGAGCUAUGUGUGAUUUUCUCAUCUCUCAGGUUCACUGGUGUUUCCUAAUGGUGCUCCUGGCCUUGAAGAUGCCAGAUAAUCCAUUCACUGGAAAGGGUAUUGAUGCUGGCCUAUUUGUUAGAGAGAAGAGGUCACUGGAAACACUGAAGGGAAAAGUUCAGACUGCAGCAAAAAUGGGAGACUGUGAGAACACCAUUGUGCUGUUAUGUGCCUGAGCAUAUUAGGACUGGGGCAGCUACUGGGCAUGACUUGGCUGUAUGCAGAAGGCAAGGCAGCUAUUCAGAGAGGUUCAAUUAGCGAAGUCAUAGCUAUACUCUCUGUGAGCAUUCAUUGUGAAGCUUGCAAGCUCUGUGCAAAUAAGCCUCCAAAAUAUUGGAGCUUCAUGACUUGCAAAAGAAAGCCCAGAUUGGCUUUCUGAUAUUUAAUAGGUCCCUGAAUUUUGUCUUUCUGGCCUCGCAAAUAAUUUCAUAGUUACAACUUAUCCGAUGCUGUUUCGGCAUGCCUGAAUUGCACAAACAAUGCUU